CCCUCCCUCUCUUUCUCUCUCUCCCUCUCCCUCUCCCUCUCCCUCUCUCUCUCUCUCUCUCUCUCUCUCUCUCUCUCUCUCUCUCGCUAUCUCGCUCGCAGCUACUCCCAGGAUCUGUACACACACGCACACACAUGUACUCAAACACACACACACACACACACACACACACAUACUCAAACACUGUGCUGACAGCUAUUCACUGACGAAACAAACUCAAGCUACAACAAACAGAUCUCAUCAUCAUUCUGUGCAACAGCCAAACAACACAAUUCCACCUACACACUCACACACAGGUGAACACAACACAAAACAGAAAAUAACAACACACUUUUGCCUACACACUCACACACAGGUGAACACAACACAACACACAAAUAACAACACACUUUUGCCUACACACUCACACACAGGUGAACACAACACAACACACAAAUAACAACACACUUUUGCCUACACACUCACACAAAGCUGAACACAACACAACACAACACAACACACAAAUCUAGCUGUCCAUAGCAAACAUGACCACGUCCACCGCACGUAGUAUUCACAUAACAUAUACUCAUGCAGCAACACAACAAAACAAACAACAAACAAAAACAAAAGCCCUCCAGUGAACAGCAUCAUAACACAUCUUCACUGCUACAGAAAUACUUCUCACAUACAACAUAUGCCACAUUAUCAGUACACAACAAAUUGACUAUUAGCACUAUCGACUAAUAACACAAUACUCUUAAUCAGUAGCUGGUACACUAUUUUCUCCAAUCAGAAGCCCUCAGCACACAACAUUUUCCAAUCAAAAGUGAGUGGAGCAUUCUCCAAUCAGAAACCAGUAGAACACACCAUUCUCCAAUCAGAAAUCAGUAGAACGCAUCAUUCUCCAAUCAGAAACCAGUAGAACACACCAUUCUCCAAUCAGAAACCAAUAGAAUAUAUCAUUCUCAAAGUGGAAACCAGUUGAACACAACAUUCUCCAAUGAGAAACCAGUGUAAUAAAACAUUCUCCAAUCAGGAACUAGAGGAACACA
This is a long non-coding RNA of Clupea harengus (Atlantic herring), 1031 nucleotides long. NCBI's taxonomy places the organism in Eukaryota, Metazoa, Chordata, Actinopteri, Clupeiformes, Clupeidae. The record is from Ensembl.